GGGGAUGACUUGGAUUCGACGGGGAUGGGAAUGGUCAGGGACGCAUACCGUGCUCUCCGUGUUGCACGUUAAUAAAACGGAAACCAAUAAGUGCAGACUACAACUACGCACUGGCUGCUUAACCAAAACUAAGUAGCCCGUCUCCAGAGAUCUCACCUGCCAGGUCUCGACGAGGCGUCGACUUCCGGCAGGGUAGCGGUUCGUUUUCCUCAACAGCGCACCGUGAACCCGGCAACGGGAAGCUUGAGGUUGCUUUUCUAACGCCCUGUCUAUCGGAUGUGGAAAAGUGAAGCUCGAAAGAUAGACUAUGUAUGUAGUGGACUUGAUGGUUCUCUCUUCGGACGCGGGUUCGACUCCCGCCAUCUCCACAA
Molecule: transfer-messenger RNA, 371 nt
Filed under: Bacteroidota (CFB group bacteria)
Lineage: Bacteria; Pseudomonadati
Also listed under: 1 other name
Description: UBA11986 sp003541875 Standard tmRNA
Rfam family: transfer-messenger RNA
About the family: Bacterial tmRNA, also known as 10Sa RNA or SsrA, is named for its dual tRNA and mRNA-like properties. Its role is to liberate the mRNA from a stalled ribosome. To accomplish this part of the tmRNA is used as a reading frame that ends in a translation stop signal.
Source: RNAcentral